Molecule: ribosomal RNA, 260 nt
Filed under: uncultured archaeon
Lineage: Archaea
Description: partial 16S ribosomal RNA
Rfam family: Archaeal small subunit ribosomal RNA
Source: RNAcentral
CAGCCGUAAACUAUGCUCGCUAGGUGUCAGGCAUGGCGCGACCGUGUCUGGUGCCGCAGGGAAGCCGUGAAGCGAGCCACCUGGGGAGUACGUCCGCAAGGAUGAAACUUAAAGGAAUUGGCGGGGGAGCACCGCAACGGGAGGAGCGUGCGGUUUAAUUGGAUUCAACGCCGAAAAACUCACCAGCAGCGACUGUUACAUGAAAGUCAGGUUGAUGACCUUACUAGAUUUCAGAGAGGUGGUGCAUGGCGUAGACGUCU